UUCCAAAUUCCUUCACAAAUAGGUUCUACUG
RNAcentral lists this non-coding RNA (31 nucleotides) under Mus musculus (house mouse). Lineage: Eukaryota; Metazoa; Chordata; Mammalia; Rodentia; Muridae. The record is from RNAcentral.